This 256-nucleotide ribosomal RNA is filed under the name uncultured bacterium. RNAcentral describes it as "partial small subunit ribosomal RNA". It matches the Rfam family "Bacterial small subunit ribosomal RNA", at positions 26 to 285 of the family's 1533-position model. The record is from RNAcentral.
AGGACGAACGCUGGCGGCGUGCCUAACACAUGCAAGUCGAGCGGUAAGGCCCUUCGGGGUACACGAGCGGCGAACGGGUGAGUAACACGUGGGCAACCUGCCCUGCACACUGGGAUAAGCCUGGGAAACUAGGUCUAAUACCGGAUACGACCUCCACGGGCAUCUGCGGAGGUGGAAAGGUUUUUCCGGCUGAGGAUGGGCCCGCGGCCUAUCAGCUAGUUGGUGGGGUGAUGGCCCACCAAGGCGACGACGGGUA